AAAGAAUGUAGUUUUACACUGUUUAUAUAAAAUGUUUGACCUUUUAUUUUAUUUAAAUUUUUUUAUGAUUAGUAUUUUUAUUGUUAUUAGAUGAUAAAACAUGAAUAGUUAUGUAUGACUAAUUUUUUUAAUGUUUUUUUAUAUUUUUUUAAAUAAGACUGAUGUUUAAACGUUAGAUACGAAAACCUAUAACUGCAUUUAAA
This 203-nucleotide microRNA precursor is filed under the name Oryza sativa Indica Group (long-grained rice). Its description in RNAcentral is "MIR812 microRNA precursor family". It matches the Rfam family "MIR812 microRNA precursor family". The record is from Rfam by way of RNAcentral. Lineage: Eukaryota; Viridiplantae; Streptophyta; Magnoliopsida; Poales; Poaceae.